AUUUCUCCAAACCUCAUCACCAAUCGAUUUCCCCAUAUCACCACUCCCUAAAAUCUCUCCAACCACCAAAUCCAUCAAUAUCUAUCAGUUUUGCCCGUACAUAUAUAUAUAUAUGUCUUCCCUUUAAUCUCAGCAAAUUACCGUCUUCCGUUCUGCAAUUUUUCUUCUCCUCCGUUAAGGGUGAAGGAGAAACCGAAGGAGCGUGAAUUUUUUUGCCAAUACCUUCUGUUUGAGCAAUUUUCGUUCUAUACCAAAGGGUUUUCUUUCGCAAGCGAGUAAGGCGAAGUGAGAGUUUUCAAGUUAAGAAUAUUAAGAGAACGAGGUUGAGCGUGCCGGGUGCGGUGGGUGUUGAGCAAGACCGUUGAAGAAAGUUAAGU
Salvia splendens (bonfire salvia) is the source of this 377-nucleotide long non-coding RNA. RefSeq lists it as uncharacterized. NCBI's taxonomy places the organism in Eukaryota, Viridiplantae, Streptophyta, Magnoliopsida, Lamiales, Lamiaceae. The transcript is spliced from 3 exons. The record is from RefSeq and is a predicted model, not a curated record.